Molecule: transfer RNA, 72 nt
Filed under: Ovis aries (sheep)
Lineage: Eukaryota; Metazoa; Chordata; Mammalia; Artiodactyla; Bovidae
Rfam family: tRNA
About the family: Transfer RNA (tRNA) molecules are approximately 80 nucleotides in length. Their secondary structure includes four short double-helical elements and three loops (D, anti-codon, and T loops).
Source: Rfam by way of RNAcentral
UCCUUAGUGGCUCAGAUGGUAAAGAGUCUGCCUGCCAUGCAGCAGACUCAGGUUCGAUCCCUGGGUUGGGAA